This 1153-nucleotide long non-coding RNA is filed under the name Heterocephalus glaber (naked mole-rat). RNAcentral's name for it is "lncRNA (ENSHGLG00100036073.1)". The record is from RNAcentral. Lineage: Eukaryota; Metazoa; Chordata; Mammalia; Rodentia; Bathyergidae.
CCACUGAAAGCAGGAUGUAAAAGGAGAAAUCAAAUCGCUUCCCAUUGCCGAGGAACCUUUCUGGGCGCUAGCCCACCUCGGCCGCUGGGUAUAAUAGACGGGCUCGAAUCCGGCUCAGAGCGUGGCGCGUCUCUACUGCUGAGCUCUUCCCUUCUCACUCUGCCUCUGAUGACAGGAACAGCUUUUCUCCACUGGAUCUUUCUGCCAUGAUGUUCGUGACUUGGAGCAGCCAAGCACAGACUGAACCUUGUGAACUAAAGAAGAAAAAACAUUAAAGUUUGUAUGGAACAACAAAGGACCCACAAAAGCAUAAGCAAUCUUGAGCAAGAACAAGCUGGACAUAUGUAAUACUUCACAACAUAAUUAGAAAUUUAUAGUAAUGAAAAUAAACCCAGGAGUCUGCACAUAUCAUGGAAGAUGGGAUUCAGAGAGUAAAGAAAGAAUCUGAGAAGGGAGACAGACCCACCCACUGACAUCAGCAGUCACCUGGCUUCUACCUCCAACAGCAAGUCAGCUAUACCAGCUCCAUAAUCCAAUCACCUUCCAAAUACAGGAGGCUUUGAGGUCCAUUUCAGAUCUAAACCAUCACUCCCUCUCUUUCAAAAAUUCAGUGAUAUCCAAGAAUUUGCCUUUAUUCACAAGUAGAUCUGUGGAUUGCAGCUUGAUAUCUUAUACUGUCUCCUGUGAAGAAGGGAUGAAAACAGAACCUGGUCCCUAAAAUAUUUCUACUCCCAAUGAGGACACUGCUAGCAGCCACUUGCCUCUUUAUUCUUCAGUGCCUUCAGAUAACUGUUUUUAACAUUUCAAGAAUUUUUUUACUGAUCUACAGAGGAGUCAUUUUAGUAAGCUCUUGAUCAUUCCCUGGAGACAUUUUAAAACUCUUCUGAACUUGCAUUUGAUGUCUAGUUUCUCCCAUAGGAACACUGAUAUUUGUCAAAGGAUAUAUUUUUGUUUGGAAAAUACAUCCUUAGGAAAAGACAGAUAUUUCUAUUUUGUGCCUUAGAAAAGCCUUUCUAUGUAUUUAAUCUUUCAGUAACUAUGGGUUGCAACUUAAUAUGCAUUAGAUAUUUUGCCAGAUCUGUGCAGAUAUGAUUGGGGGAAAGGGGUGGUACAGAAACAAAUUACAUGUAUAUUACAUUUUAAAGUAGUUUCC